GUACACUCCUGCGGGAGGCAGCAGUGGGGAAUAUUGGACAAUGGGCGCAAGCCUGAUCCAGCCAUGCCGCGUGAGUGAUGAAGGCCCUAGGGUUGUAAAGCUCUUUCACCGGUGAAGAUAAUGACGGUAACCGGAGAAGAAGCCCCGGCUAACUUCGUGCCAGCAGCCGCGGUAAUACGAAGGGGGCUAGCGUUGUUCGGAUUUACUGGGCGUAAAGCGCACGUAGGCGGACUAUUAAGUCAGGGGUGAAAUCCCGGGGCUCAACCCCGGAACUGCCUUUGAUACUGGUAGUCUUGAGUUCGAGAGAGGUGAGUGGAAUUCCGAGUGUAGAGGUGAAAUUCGUAGAUAUUCGGAGGAACACUAGUGGCGAAGGCGGCUCACUGGCUCGAUACUGACGCUGAGGUGCGAAAGCGUGGGGAGCAAACAGGAUUAGAUACCCUUGUAGUCCCA
Molecule: ribosomal RNA, 450 nt
Filed under: uncultured organism
Description: partial 16S ribosomal RNA
Rfam family: Bacterial small subunit ribosomal RNA
Source: RNAcentral